GAGAGUUAAACAGUACGUGAAAUUGUUGAAAAGGAAACGAUUGAAGCCAGUCGUACCUUCGGGUAAUCAGCCUUUCGGGUGCGAUUCUGUGGAGUGUGAGGAGCUUAAACACCUUCAUGUUUUGCAUAUUCGUACUCUUGGGUGUACUUGCCCGUAUGGUUGGUUAACAUCAAUUUUGGUGGUCAUAAAAUGACUGGAGGAAUGUAGCUUCGAUCUUGUAUUGAAGUGUUAUAGCCUUCGGUAGAUGUGAUGAUCAAGAUUGAGGAUUGCAACGGAUACCCUUCGGGGCUACCUGUCUGAUCUCUGAUCGUUGCUCUGGUGCCGAAAGCUUGCUUACGGUUAUCAGAGUCGAUGGUCAAUAGGUUAGAACGGGUUAAAUUCGUUAAGGAUGUUGACGUAAUGGCUUUAAACGA
RNAcentral lists this ribosomal RNA (413 nucleotides) under uncultured Rhizophagus. RNAcentral's name for it is "partial 28S ribosomal RNA". Lineage: Eukaryota; Fungi; Glomeromycota; Glomeromycetes; Glomerales; Glomeraceae. The record is from RNAcentral.